GGAUGAACGCUAGCGGCAGGCCUAACACAUGCAAGUCGAGGGAGAAGCCCUUUCGGGGGCAGAAACCGGCGCACGGGUGCGUAACGCGUAUGCAACCUACCUUUCACAGGGGGAUAGCCCGAAGAAAUUUGGAUUAAUACCCCAUAAUAUUAUUGGAUGGCAUCAUUUGAUAAUUAAAACUGCGGUGGUGAAAGAUGGGCAUGCGUCCUAUUAGCUAGUUGGAGUGGUAACGGCACCCCAAGGCUACGAUAGGUAGGGGUCCUGAGAGGGAGAUCCCCCACACUGGUACUGAGACAGGGACCAGACUCCUACGGGAGGCAGCAGUGAGGAAUAUUGGUCAAUGGUCGGAAGACUGAACCAGCCAUGCCGCGUGCAGGAAGAAUGCCUUAUGGGUUGUAAACUGCUUUUAUAUGGGAAGAAUAAGGCGUACGUGUACGUUGAUGACGGUACCAUAUGAAUAAGCAUCGGCUAACUCCGUG
RNAcentral lists this ribosomal RNA (479 nucleotides) under uncultured bacterium. Its description in RNAcentral is "partial 16S ribosomal RNA". It matches the Rfam family "Bacterial small subunit ribosomal RNA", at positions 27 to 507 of the family's 1533-position model. The record is from RNAcentral.